This 28-nucleotide non-coding RNA is filed under the name Rattus norvegicus (Norway rat). Lineage: Eukaryota; Metazoa; Chordata; Mammalia; Rodentia; Muridae. The record is from RNAcentral.
UGGGCUGGAAUGAGAAUGUGUCUUCCCC